CCGAAUAGGGGAGCCGAAGGGAAACCGAGUCUUAACUGGGCGUUAAGUUGCAGGGUAUAGACCCGAAACCCGGUGAUCUAGCCAUGGGCAGGUUGAAGGUUGGGUAACACUAACUGGAGGACCGAACCGACUAAUGUUGAAAAAUUAGCGGAUGACUUGUGGCUGGGGGUGAAAGGCCAAUCAAACCGGGAGAUAGCUGGUUCUCCCCGAAAGCUAUUUAGGUAGCGCCUCGUGAAUUCAUCUCCGGGGGUAGAGCACUGUUUCGGCAAGGGGGUCAUCCCGACUUACCAACCCGAUGCAAACUGCGAAUACCGGAGAAUGUUAUCACGGGAGACACACGGCGGGUGCUAACGUCCGUCGUGAAGAGGGAAACAACCCAGACCGCCAGCUAAGGUCCCAAAGUCAUGGUUAAGUGGGAAACGAUGUGGGAAGGCCCAGACAGCCAGGAUGUUGGCUUAGAAGCAGCCAUCAUUUAAAGAAAGCGUAAUAGCUCACUGGUCGAGUCGGCCUGCGCGGAAGAUGUAACGGGGCUAAACCAUGCACCGAAGCUGCGGCAGCGACGCUUAUGCGUUGUUGGGUA
Molecule: ribosomal RNA, 580 nt
Filed under: Escherichia coli
Lineage: Bacteria; Pseudomonadati; Pseudomonadota; Gammaproteobacteria; Enterobacterales; Enterobacteriaceae
Description: bacterial LSU rRNA
Rfam family: Bacterial large subunit ribosomal RNA
Source: RNAcentral